GAUCAAAAUUGACAGAGGAAUGGGGCUCUAUAGUAGUUCUUGCAGCAGAAGAUUGGUAGUUGAAGGAGAGAGAAAGCUUGAAAUUAAGCAAUCAACAAUGACGACCACUUCGGAUUUGCUGUUGAACUAAACUCUCAAGAAAUCUAUUUGAACCCAGAACAGUGAACUUUAUACCGAUCGUGCUCAAGCCAACAUCAAACUCCCCAAUUUCACUGGAAUGGGGAUGGUUUUCUCACAAAAUACCAAGGACAUAGGAGAGACGAACGAAGAAAACUAAUUGCGUAUGAGCUCUACCCCGAUUCUGCUCAUAUGCGGCGCAAUACAUUUUUCAGAUACUGACACUUCUCCAUUGAGAUACAUUCUGGUUACAAUAUUACACCAUUCGUAAGUUAAUGUCCACCUGCCUGUUUGCAGCUUAUUGCAUAUCAUAAGAGUCGCCAUGAAAUUGUAGCUUUGAACACCGAGGGUGCCCGUCCAAUCCAUAAAGCAACAAUUAUACAGCGUGGACCGACUGUAGGAAUCGUUCUCAACUCCCAUCAAGUGACGAGACCUCAGUUAACAAAAAGAAACUAUAGGCUUGUCUUGAUAUUGCAUGGGAAGAGGUAGGGUAGCAAAUGAGCUUAUAUUUGGUCAAUACACAUUGUAACUGGAGCUAGCAGCAACGACUAACGAGCACGUCAUCCAGAGCUUGCUUGAUCAACAUGCUUGAUGUUUUGUUGUAGAAUUUUGCGUUGUUGGAGUAUUAGCUGACAUCGAUAAACAUCAAGCCAAAUUCCGUCGAAUCGUUUUUUUAUUGGUUGUAAAACUAUGCUAUGGAUUUUUCCUUAAAAAAUAAAAAACUAUGCUGUGGAUUUUGGAGUUCGUGUAAAAUUUCACCGAGUUGUCAAAAAACAUCAAAUCAAACUAUAAGAACUAUGUUUAAAAUGCACUUAAGAUACCA
Molecule: long non-coding RNA, 940 nt
Organism: Spinacia oleracea (spinach)
Lineage: Eukaryota; Viridiplantae; Streptophyta; Magnoliopsida; Caryophyllales; Amaranthaceae
Exons: 3
Source: RefSeq, a predicted model, not a curated record